This 118-nucleotide long non-coding RNA is filed under the name dengue virus type 4. RNAcentral describes it as "Dengue virus 4 partial sfRNA2". Lineage: Riboviria; Orthornavirae; Kitrinoviricota; Flasuviricetes; Amarillovirales; Flaviviridae. The record is from RNAcentral.
UUGAAGUCAGGCCACUUGUGCCACGGCUUGAGCAAACCGUGCUGCCUGUAGCUCCGCCAAUAACGGGAGGCGUAAUAAUCCCGGGGAGGCCAUGCGCCACGGAAGCUGUACGCGUGGC